This 1607-nucleotide long non-coding RNA is filed under the name Marmota monax (woodchuck). The record is from RNAcentral. Lineage: Eukaryota; Metazoa; Chordata; Mammalia; Rodentia; Sciuridae.
GAGUUUGGGACUUGGUCACAAGGAAACCUGGUGGCUGAGGGGACUGGAGGUUAGGCAGUCAGCUGUAAGGACCACCUAGGACAGUCUAAUAUCCGAGGGUGGGCUCCUGGGACCCAGACGUUCUGAUGCUGGGGUACAGGGCCCCCGGGUGUUCAGACAAUGAGUGCAGGUGUCUGGUGUCCAGGUGAGCAGCGUUCAGGUGCAGAAUCGCCAAGGAGCGUGAGGCAGCAGGAGCGCGUCCCCAGGGAACGGGUAGAAGCCACUCCGCCCCAAGAGCGUCCGCAGGUCCUCAGGGCACAGGGACGACCCAGACCUGCCCAGAAGACGAGCCAGCGCUCAGACUCACGGGGUGCAGGGACCCAGGUGCCCAGACUGGGUACAGAGACUCACUCAGGCUAAUGGGGUGCAGAGACUAGACUCACUCAAGCUAAUGGGGUGCAGAGACUAGACUCACUCUGGCUAAUGGGGUACAGAGACUAGACUCACUCGGGCUAAUGGGGUACAGAGACUAGACUCACUUGGGCUAAUGGGGUACAGAGACUGGACUCAGAAUAAUCGGGGUAUGGGGCAUGGGGACGAGACUGAGGCCAGUGGGGUGCAGGGACCAGACGCUGGGCCUCUCUGGAGCAGGAAACCAGCCUGGGUCGUGCUCGGCUCCUGUGGGCUCAGGUACACAGUCCAGACCCCUGGGCGGCUCGGGGUGGGCAGGCGGCCCAGCACUCUAAUGAAUGGUGCACAGAGAGCAGAGACAAGGGUGAAUGGGACACAUACAGCCGUGCGAGGGACGGGCACAAGGCGUCCAAAACCACAGGAAGAGGGCACCGGCCCCUGGGCCCUGGGCCCGCGAGCUGUGUCAAUGGGGGAUUCAGUGGGCUCAACAAGCCGGUACAGGCUGUCCAGGGCCCUGGCGACCAUAGAAUAGAGUCCUGUUCCCCAGCUGACGGGGCCAGCUCACCCAGGCUGUGAGGGCACUCAGGUGACCAGGACACGUGCCCCAGGUAUUCACAAGUGGGGUCAGAGACACAGACUCUCGGCGUCCCCGGGUGAACAGGGAGCCUGGGACAAAGUAGGGGGGGGCUCACACAAAUCUCCAGAAGGGGGCUCUGGGACCUCAGCGCCCCCAGACCCCCAGGAGGUGGAGCAAGUAAGGGAGGUAGAGACCCCCAUCCAGCUGGUGAGUGGGUUCCAGCCAGCAGAUGAUGGGUAGGUGCCACCAGACCUUCAGGGAAAUGGGGUUCACCUGGACACCCCAAGGAGUGGUAUGCACGUCCUAAGAGCCCAGGUUCUCAGAACACGGGCACCACGCCCAAAGGACCAGAACACAGUGUCACAGUCAGAGUGGGGAGCAGGUAUCGAUGCUCCGACCAUGGGGUGCAGCCUCUCCCAAAGAUGGGGUACAGUUCCUAUGUGGUCGGAUAAUAGGGUAACCUCCCUGGGUGCUCGGGUGAUGGGCAAAUUCUUCCCUGGUGCCUGGAAGAUGGGGUUCAGUUUACCUGGGAUGUUGGAAUGUUGGGGUACAGCCUCCCAGGUGAGCAGAGCAGGGACAAUCUGAGUCAGAGGUGACUGGGGCACCCACAGUGGUCUCAGGGUGCAGAGGACAGGGCCCG